UUGCCUCAAGUGGUCAAUAACAAUUUUGGGAUUUUCAGAGCUGACAGCACAGAGGUAAAACAGUAGAAAGAGACCUGUGGAAGGGAGCAAAGUGGAACAGUUGUGAAGUGGUAAAGAAGGAACAUUGAAAAGACAGUGAAAUCAAGUGACUCUCUCAAGAUCACAAAACAAACAAUCAACAGAUUGUUUAACAGAUUCUCUAGUUAAAACCACUUUCUCCUUCUGGUGCUUCACCAUACUUCUCUUGUGGCCCAUUCUUUCACCCUCACACCUCUUAUUGAUCAGCCAUGGGCAAGCACCUCACAUGGAAUAUCAAUUGUGAGAAGAUGAGGCUACAGUGAAAAAGAGGAAAGGGAACAUUACUUCUCAACACAGCAGUCGUUGACAAGUGAAACAAGAUUGCUUAUCCCACAGAAGAACUGCUUCUUUAGCUGAAUUCUGGAAUGAAGAUGACCUAUGGAGCAGACCAAAAGUUGACCACACAGUGACCCAUAACUAACAUAUAACAUGAAUAAGAAAUAAACUUUUGUUUUAACUGUAAUUUGGAGUUUGUUUCCACAGCA
Molecule: long non-coding RNA, 563 nt
Organism: Talpa occidentalis (Iberian mole)
Lineage: Eukaryota; Metazoa; Chordata; Mammalia; Eulipotyphla; Talpidae
Exons: 3
Source: RefSeq, a predicted model, not a curated record